Molecule: ribosomal RNA, 460 nt
Filed under: uncultured bacterium
Lineage: Bacteria
Description: partial 16S ribosomal RNA
Rfam family: Bacterial small subunit ribosomal RNA
Source: RNAcentral
CCUACGGGUGGCUGCAGUGAGGAAUAUUGGUCAAUGGGCGUAAGCCUGAACCAGCCAAGUCGCGUGAGGGAUGAAGGUUCUAUGGAUCGUAAACCCCUUUUAUAAGGGAAUAAAGUGUGGGACGUGUCCUAUUUUGUAUGUACCUUAUGAAUAAGGAUCGGCUAACUCCGUGCCAGCAGCCGCGGUAAUACGGAGGAUCCGAGCGUUAUCCGGAUUUAUUGGGUUUAAAGGGUGCGUAGGCGGCCUUUUAAGUCAGCGGUGAAAGUCUGUGGCUCAACCAGAGAAUUGCCGUUGAAACUGGGGGUCUUGAGUAUGUGGGAGGCAGACGGAAUGCGUGGUGUAGCGGUGAAAUGCUUAGAUAUCAGGCGGAACCCCGAUUGCGAAGGCAGCCUGCCGAGCCAUGACUGACGCUGAUGCACGAAAGCGUGGGGAUCAAACAGGAUUAGAUACCCUUGUAGUC